RNAcentral lists this ribosomal RNA (1721 nucleotides) under Campylobacter jejuni. RNAcentral describes it as "bacterial LSU rRNA". It matches the Rfam family "Bacterial large subunit ribosomal RNA", at positions 1223 to 2925 of the family's 2925-position model. Lineage: Bacteria; Pseudomonadati; Campylobacterota; Epsilonproteobacteria; Campylobacterales; Campylobacteraceae. The record is from RNAcentral.
AAGUGGUAGGAGAGCGUUCUAUUUGCGUCGAAGGUAUACCGGUAAGGAGUGCUGGAGCGAAUAGAAGUGAGCAUGCAGGCAUGAGUAGCGAUAAUUAAUGUGAGAAUCAUUAACGCCGUAAACCCAAGGUUUCCUACGCGAUGCUCGUCAUCGUAGGGUUAGUCGGGUCCUAAGUCGAGUCCGAAAGGGGUAGACGAUGGCAAAUUGGUUAAUAUUCCAAUACCAACAUUAGUGUGCGAUGGAAGGACGCUUAGGGCUAAGGGGGCUAGCGGAUGGAAGUGCUAGUCUAAGGUCGUAGGAGGUUGUACAGGCAAAUCCGUAUAACAAUACUCCGAGAACUGAAAGGCUUUUUGAAGUCUUCGGAUGGAUAGAAGAACCCCUGAUGCCGUCGAGCCAAGAAAAGUUUCUAAGUUUAGCUAAUGUUGCCCGUACCGUAAACCGACACAGGUGGGUGGGAUGAGUAUUCUAAGGCGCGUGGAAGAACUCUCUUUAAGGAACUCUGCAAAAUAGCACCGUAUCUUCGGUAUAAGGUGUGGUUAGCUUUGUAUUAGGAUUUACUCCGAAAGCAAGGAAACUUACAACAAAGAGUCCCUCCCGACUGUUUACCAAAAACACAGCACUCUGCUAACUCGUAAGAGGAUGUAUAGGGUGUGACGCCUGCCCGGUGCUCGAAGGUUAAUUGAUGGGGUUAGCAUUAGCGAAGCUCUUGAUCGAAGCCCGAGUAAACGGCGGCCGUAACUAUAACGGUCCUAAGGUAGCGAAAUUCCUUGUCGGUUAAAUACCGACCUGCAUGAAUGGCGUAACGAGAUGGGAGCUGUCUCAAAGAGGGAUCCAGUGAAAUUGUAGUGGAGGUGAAAAUUCCUCCUACCCGCGGCAAGACGGUAAGACCCCGUGGACCUUUACUACAGCUUGACACUGCUACUUGGAUAAGAAUGUGCAGGAUAGGUGGGAGGCUUUGAGUAUAUGACGCCAGUUGUAUAUGAGCCAUUGUUGAGAUACCACUCUUUCUUAUUUGGGUAGCUAACCAGCUUGAGUUAUCCUCAAGUGGGACAAUGUCUGGUGGGUAGUUUGACUGGGGCGGUCGCCUCCCAAAUAAUAACGGAGGCUUACAAAGGUUGGCUCAGAACGGUUGGAAAUCGUUCGUAGAGUAUAAAGGUAUAAGCCAGCUUAACUGCAAGACAUACAAGUCAAGCAGAGACGAAAGUCGGUCUUAGUGAUCCGGUGGUUCUGUGUGGAAGGGCCAUCGCUCAAAGGAUAAAAGGUACCCCGGGGAUAACAGGCUGAUCUCCCCCAAGAGCUCACAUCGACGGGGAGGUUUGGCACCUCGAUGUCGGCUCAUCGCAUCCUGGGGCUGGAGCAGGUCCCAAGGGUAUGGCUGUUCGCCAUUUAAAGCGGUACGCGAGCUGGGUUCAGAACGUCGUGAGACAGUUCGGUCCCUAUCUGCCGUGGGCGUAAGAAGAUUGAAGAGAUUUGACCCUAGUACGAGAGGACCGGGUUGAACAAACCACUGGUGUAGCUGUUGUUCUGCCAAGAGCAUCGCAGCGUAGCUAAGUUUGGAAAGGAUAAACGCUGAAAGCAUCUAAGCGUGAAGCCAACUCUAAGAUGAAUCUUCUCUAAGCUCUCUAGAAGACUACUAGUUUGAUAGGCUGGGUGUGUAAUGGAUGAAAGUCCUUUAGCUGACCAGUACUAAUAGAGCGUUUGGCUUAUCUUUAAUAAAGCAU